ACAAACUUGGUCAUUUAGAGGAAGUAAAAGUCGUAACAAGGUUUCCGUAGGUGAACCUGCGGAAGGAUCAUCACUGAUUCGAGGGGUAUGCGUGUGUUGUGUGUGCGCGUCUGUGCACGCACCGCCGCUCCCCAACCCAAUCCUGUGUGCACCGUUUCACGGUCAAGAAGAGAGAAGACCACACGACACGCGCACGCGCGCGUGGGGCUGCAUUGUGCGUGUGUGUUGUGUUGGCGACGGCAACAAUGCCGCCGCCAACCGGCAUCAUGGCACUGCACCAUGCACGUGUGCGCGCAACCACCUUGCGUUGUCCAUACGUGCGUGUGGUGUGUGGGGUGUUCUCUCUGUAUGCAACAACACUAUCUUGUGCAACCUGUGUCUAACGUAUAUGCGUGUGUGCGCGUUAUACGCGCGCGCCACCACCUUAACACAUACAACUUUCAACAAUGGAUCUCUUGGCUCUCGCAUCGAUGAAGAACGCAGC
This 484-nucleotide unclassified non-coding RNA is filed under the name uncultured fungus. RNAcentral's name for it is "partial contains small subunit ribosomal RNA, internal transcribed spacer 1, and 5.8S ribosomal RNA". The stretch from base 1 to 73 matches the Rfam family "Eukaryotic small subunit ribosomal RNA", at positions 1759 to 1831 of the family's 1831-position model. The record is from RNAcentral. Lineage: Eukaryota; Fungi.